UCUUCAUCCUCAUAGAUUGUUUUUGCUGCUGUCACUGGCCCAUAAACAUUUUUCAUCACACCACUGAAAUCAUGCAACCAUUGUGGCUCACUUGGGUGAAGUUCUAUAACUGCCAUUCGAUCAGAGGGAGGAUUAACAGCCAAAUAACAAUCAUCAUCCCUUCCAUGUGGGAAAAACUCCUUCCUCCUUUUGCUGCUGACAGGCGAUAGGUCCAUCACAUCACCAUUGCUAUGACUGGAUGGCUGAGUUGACAAAUUAAGCCCAGACCCAUUAAGCAGCUUCUUUGAGUGGGAAUUUGCGGCACUCUUUAUUGGAGGAGUUGGCCUCUCAAGCUCGAAAUCUGUAUUUGGAAGGUUUCUCCAAGAACUGAAAUCGCCUGCUUCGGGUGGGAUUGUGAAGUUGAAAUCCCUGCCUGUGAGUUCCAUCCAUCU
Molecule: unclassified non-coding RNA, 431 nt
Filed under: Hevea brasiliensis (rubber tree)
Lineage: Eukaryota; Viridiplantae; Streptophyta; Magnoliopsida; Malpighiales; Euphorbiaceae
Source: RNAcentral